UACGUAGGUGGCAAGCGUUAGUCGGAAUUACUGGGCGUAAAGCGUGCGCAGGCGGUUCUAUAAGACAGAUGUGAAAUCCCCGGGCUCAACCUGGGAACUGCAUUUGUGACUGUAGAGCUGGAGUGCGGCAGAGGGGGAUGGAAUUCCGCGUGUAGCAGUGAAAUGCGUAGAUAUGCGGAGGAACACCGAUGGCGAAGGCAAUCCCCUGGGCCUGCACUGACGCUCAUGCACGAAAGCGUGGGGAGCAAACAGG
Molecule: unclassified non-coding RNA, 253 nt
Filed under: uncultured Gammaproteobacteria bacterium
Lineage: Bacteria; Pseudomonadati; Pseudomonadota; Gammaproteobacteria
Description: contains 16S-23S intergenic spacer region
Rfam family: Bacterial small subunit ribosomal RNA
Source: RNAcentral